AAGGUUUGUUUUUACCCUGGGGAGAAGAAGGCAUCUAUUAUUCUGUCUCCUAUGGGGUUCAUUGCCAGCUCCUUUAUGGCUCCAAAAUCCUGUGGACUAUUUGAGAAUAAAACAACAUAUGAGCAGGACAGACGCCAGCAAGAGUCCUCAGGGUCGUGUAAAGAAGGAAGAAGGGUGAAAUCAGCAGUGAUGUAGUGAUGACAGAGACAAGCCUGACUUCCCGUACUCUGCUUUCAAGGAAACAAGAAAAGGGAAGGACGACGGAAUUCCCACUGUUGAUCAGCCACAAAGUAGAUGUUUUUUUUUUAAAUGCUUUGUCAAUGAUCGGUGGAUUGUUUGAUUAUUAACACCGGCUAAACUUCGGAAUGCAAAAGUCUCUUAAAGAGAUUCACCCAGAGUUCAAUUAGUUUUUAAAGUCCUCCUAAACGUAUUCCCGAAAGAACUGAGUGGUUUAUUCUGCACUACUUAAGGCUGAUCAAUUCCAAUUCAUCUGAUUUACAUUAUAUUUCUACAUUUUGUCAAGUUUGUUCCCUAUUAUUUAUUUUUUUAACCCUUGUGUGCUGUUGGGGG
This 570-nucleotide long non-coding RNA is filed under the name Danio rerio (zebrafish). RNAcentral's name for it is "si:dkey-46i14.11 (ENSDARG00000096873.2)". Lineage: Eukaryota; Metazoa; Chordata; Actinopteri; Cypriniformes; Danionidae. The record is from RNAcentral.